CUCUCAAACCAGGCAGCUUGGGAGAUUUGAGCAUUAACUGCUGCUCCCAAGCAGAAGGCUCUACUUUCAGUUUCCCAGAAACAUGUUUUAAUUUCUUUGAUUACAUGUUUUAAAUUACUUCAGUUAGGGGCAUUGCUCUCGAGGGAAGCCUGGCUUGGGUGCCCUCUGGGGCUUCUUGGGCCCAGCUCCACUAGGCCUGGCCACCCAGCCUACCUGUGGGGUAGGUGGCUCUACCUUCCUUUUCUUCUUCUGGUUCUGCUUGUUGGUUCGAGGAUACACCAUGAGCAUCUCUAACCACCUGGGAAGACAGGAUGAGAGAUAGUACCAGGAGGCCUGGAUCUUAGAACUGCUCCCUAUCAACUGAUAUUUCUGACAGAUACUUGAGGUCCUGUGCCUGAAGGGAGUGACUCCUACAAUUUCACUAGAAUUCUAAAUCAAGAUUAUCUUCCCACAAGGACCUCAGAAGCAAGUGUUCUUCACUCCAUGGACAAGACACAUCUUAUCUCUGAGACAGAAAACUAACAAUAUGGGGAUUGUGAAAACUGAGUGACAGGAGCUGUGCAGACAGCCAGGAGUGACCAGAUGACAGGAACUGCUAAGGAUGCCUCUUCUCUACUGCUGGAACUCCAUCCCAGUUCUUGGAAUUAAAACACUGACAACAAUGGCCAUGGUAGAUUUUAGACCUAUG
Arvicanthis niloticus (Nile rat) is the source of this 688-nucleotide non-coding RNA. The record is from RefSeq and is a predicted model, not a curated record. Lineage: Eukaryota; Metazoa; Chordata; Mammalia; Rodentia; Muridae.